UCCGAAGAUGAAAAAAGUAAUCCGAUCCGAUCCGAAACAAUGUUUAUAAAAUCCGAUCCGAUCCGAUGCUAAAAUUCGUAAUCCGAUCCGAUCCGAACUUAAGUUGUGUACGCUGUACAGCGUGCGUUAAUUAUUAUGAACGUAUUUUUUCAUGAUCAUAAACGAUAUAUUGGAAAUAAUGAAUUUCUAGCAAAAAUAAGCAGAUACGAAUCCGAUAAAAAUUGCAGGGCGAUAUCACAUAAUUAUGCCUUAUAGCGUUCACAUUUACAGUACACAGUAACAGCAGUUUAUAUUUUAUUAGAAUUAGCAUAGAAAAAAAACCCAACUAGUCAAAAAUGUUUUAUUCAGUAUAAUAAAUCAUGAGCUUGAGCUAGGUUUACAUUUUAAAACAUCUUAACGUUUAUCACUAAUAAACCUCAUUGUCAGGCUUCAUGUGCUGUUUUUGAAUAGCCGAGGCCCGAGGGGAGAUUGGGUGGCAUAAUGGCAUUCGUUAUUCGCGAAUCGCGAUUUCGCGAGCGAGCAAAACGUUACUUUGACUUUGUAGUUUGUAUGGACUAUAUGGAUUAUGGAAUUACUUUUAUGCUCAAAGCCAUUGUGAAUUCUGAUGCCAUUUGUAACGUAAAAAGUGGAAUACAGCUGCAGAAUAUAGAACUUUCUCAAUUUGUAAAAAUAUUCGAAUAAUUCGACGUGAUACAAGAAAAAUCAAAUCCGAACCGAUCCGACAAAAACCUGCAAAAUCCGAUCCGAUCCGACAGAAACAAAACGAAAUCCGAUCCGAGUAAUUUACUGUCCGAUCGGAUUCGCACCUCUCGUGCUUAGUAUAAUUAUGGUUAUGAUCAUUUUAAAAUCACGGUUCCUACUGUAUCUGUAUGUUGUUAAAAGCAGUCAUUUUGGUAUGGGAUUUGAUAUUUUUUAUGUUUCGUUAGCCACCAAUCGUACCAAAAAUGCGGCAUGCGGGCGAUACCAGAAAUUUCGAUGAAUAUCCCGACGAAGAUUGGCAGACUGCGUUACCUGUUAGUGGAAAACAACUUGAACCAUUCAAAGAUUUCUGAGAUAUCUGUUGUGUCUAUAAAGAUGUAAGGUAUGGAAUUCAAACGUUGACUGCAAUACCGCGACAGAGCAUGGGCAAUCCCAUGAUCUAACCAUGCAUGGUCCCCCCACCGGUUAGGGGGAAGGGACAAUACUCCGGUUAGGGUCAGGUACUCGAAACAAAAAAGUGCACCUGUAUGACGAUAUACAUAAUAGAAUCAAGGAUGGCUGUAUGAUGUACAUCAUAGAAAAGAGACUAUGCUAGCUGGUUUAUUCAAAGCUAACAUAGGUGCAAUUUGUGUGCGCAUGCAUGCGGCAACAAAAUAUACUAGAUUAAUUAAAAAGUUACUUCGCUAGUUAAUGUCUAAAGCUAAAAAUGGUGGAAUGAAUUAUUAUUUUUGAUAUCGUUGUGCAUCAUACUUAAAUAAAACAAUGUAUACAACAUGUUUAGGUUUGGCAAUUUUAAUUUUUUUACAACUAAUAAAAAUAACAAAAAUAUUAAAUAGAUAGAGGAAGCUUAUAUAAAUUUUGGUGAGGUUUCAAGCCAAAGGUAUAGAUUUAAGAAAAUAUUUCUUUUCCUAAAUUUCAUUUAAUUAUCUAAAAACCGUUCCUAGCCAUUGUGUGUGCAGCAAACACUUCACGGUAUUUCUAUUACAUGUAUAUUAUUCAUUAUGAUCUUUUGCGAUUCACAUGAAGUAUGUGUGAAAAAUUGAAAAUGUUCCUGAAUCUUGUUGCUAAGUUACAUGUUUCUCCGCAACCGACAAUAUGGCGGUAUAGUUUCCGUAAUGUGGACCGUCCAACGAUGAACGUAUUUCACUGGAUGUAGCUCUUACCAUAUACAGUAAUAAGAGGAUUAAAGGCUUGAAAAUUCCGCCUUGUGGAAAACCGCCUUAAGAGCGGUUGUACAUUUACAUAUUAAUUUAUUAAUUCUGUUUUUAUUGUAUUUACAGUGAGAAAAUAUCCUGUCAGACGAGAUAAAUGUCUACUUCGGUCAAGGAGGAUUAGAGACAACGCAAGAAAUGUGACCAUUUGGUCGGACCAAACUAUUAGCGAGCUUAAGGUACGUUUACACGCUGCGAUUUGUCGGGCCGAUUUUGCUCGCUGUAUGUAAAUAACCUGUCGUGAGUACUCGCGUCAGCACCUUGCGAUUCACAAAAUCGGGAGAAAAAUCUGUAACACUAACACAGAUUUUUCUCACGAUUCAACGAUUUUUCUUCCGUUGUAAAGUUGUUGAAAACUUUUCGCACGCAGAAAACUAUAAUAUGAACAGACGAAAGAGCGGACAGCUUCAAUUGAACGUUUAAAUCGCUCAAUGUCGAAGAAGGGGCAUCGAUUAUUUACCAAAAUCGGCCCGACAAAUCGCAGCGUGUAAACGUAGCUUAAGCAAGCGACGUUUUUGUCAACACGGACGACAGAUUACCGAGGGGGGGGGACUGGAUUAAAAACUGUGUUUCUGUCAUUCUGUGGUCAUCGUCAGCACAUAACUUUUUUUGUUUCCUUACACGAGUGCUAUGGUGCAAAAUGCCGCCAAAAUUAGUUAUACCAAUUUCCGGGUGACAAAAACAGGUGUUGACAAAAACGUCGCUUGUUUAAGCCUGGCGCACACGAUGCGAUUUUAAUCGGACAACAUCAAAACAUUUUGAUGAUAUACGAUUUUUAUCGGUGGAAUUUUAAGUAUAACCAAUCAGAUUUCAUGCUGUGAUCACGUGCUUGUAUUUAUUUGGCAACAUGGCGGCUACAGUUCAGGGAGCGUAUUUUUUUCGUAAUCGUGUGCGGAGUAUACCGAUGUAUAUCGGUAUGUCAAACGAUUUUUAUUGGCCGACUAAAAUCGCAUCGUGUGCGCCUGGCUUUAAGCUCACUAAUAUCGUUGUCGGAGCCGCUGUAAAUGUUAUGAACAAUUUUUGCACAGUCAAUUUGAAUAACGCAUAGAUAUUUUUAUAUAGCUAGGAAUAACGAAAUACCUGCACAAUUGUAAUAUUUUUUAAAUUUUGAAAAAUGUUUUUAUAGCACUUUAAUUGUGUAUUAGAUAUUCAUGUUCAUGAGUUGC
Non-coding RNA from Paramuricea clavata, 3076 nucleotides. Lineage: Eukaryota; Metazoa; Cnidaria; Anthozoa; Malacalcyonacea; Plexauridae. The record is from the annotation of a GenBank genome assembly.